RNAcentral lists this ribosomal RNA (301 nucleotides) under uncultured bacterium. Its description in RNAcentral is "partial 16S ribosomal RNA". It matches the Rfam family "Bacterial small subunit ribosomal RNA", at positions 509 to 807 of the family's 1533-position model. The record is from RNAcentral.
CAGUCGCCGCGGUAACACAGAGGGUGCGAGCGUUAAUCGGAUUUACUGGGCGUAAAGCGUGCGUAGGCGGCUAAUUGAGUCGGAUGUGAAAUCCCCGAGCUUAACUUAGGAAUUGCAUUCGAUACUGGGAAGCUAGAGUAUGGGAGAGGAUGGUAGAAUUCCAGGUGUAGCGGUGAAAUGCGUAGAGAUCUGGAGGAAUACCGAUGGCGAAGGCAGCCAUCUGGCCUAAUACUGACGCUGAGGUACGAAAGCAUGGGGAGCAAACAGGAUUAGAUACCCGCGUAGUCCCUGUCUCUUAUAC